RNAcentral lists this ribosomal RNA (512 nucleotides) under uncultured bacterium. RNAcentral describes it as "bacterial SSU rRNA". It matches the Rfam family "Bacterial small subunit ribosomal RNA", at positions 791 to 1300 of the family's 1533-position model. The record is from RNAcentral.
UAGUCCACGCCGUAAACGAUGGGUGCUGGAUGUCGGAAUCUUAAGAUUUCGGUGUCGGAGCUAACGCAUUAAGCACCCCGCCUGGGGAGUACGGUCGCAAGAUUAAAACUCAAAGGAAUUGACGGGGACCCGCACAAGCGGUGGAGCAUGUGGUUUAAUUCGAGGCAACGCGAAGAACCUUACCAGCCCUUGACAUCCUGGUCGCGGCUUUUAGAGAUAAAAGCUUUCAGUUCGGCUGGACCAGUGACAGGUGCUGCAUGGCUGUCGUCAGCUCGUGUCGUGAGAUGUUGGGUUAAGUCCCGCAACGAGCGCAACCCUCGUCCUUAGUUGCCAGCACGUUAUGGUGGGAACUCUAAGGAAACCGCCGGUGAUAAGCCGGAGGAAGGUGGGGAUGACGUCAAGUCUUCAUGGCCCUUAUGGGCUGGGCUACACACGUGCUACAAUGGCGAUGACAAUGGGCAGCGACUCUGCGAGGAGGAGCGAAUCCCAAAAAAUCGUCUCAGUUCGGAUUG